This 253-nucleotide ribosomal RNA is filed under the name uncultured bacterium. RNAcentral describes it as "partial 16S ribosomal RNA". It matches the Rfam family "Bacterial small subunit ribosomal RNA", at positions 524 to 776 of the family's 1533-position model. The record is from RNAcentral.
UACGGAGGGGGCAAGCGUUAUCCGGAUUUACUGGGUUUAAAGGGUGUGUAGGCGGGCUGUUAAGUCAGUGGUGAAAUCUCCGGGCUCAACCCGGAAACUGCCAUUGAUACUAAUGGUCUUGAAUUUUGUUGAGGUAGGCGGAAUAAGUCAUGUAGCGGUGAAAUGCAUAGAUAUGACUUAGAACACCAAUUGCGAAGGCAGCUUGCUAAACAAAUAUUGACGCUGAGGCACGAAAGCGUGGGGAUCAAACAGG